RNAcentral lists this ribosomal RNA (253 nucleotides) under uncultured bacterium. RNAcentral describes it as "partial 16S ribosomal RNA". It matches the Rfam family "Bacterial small subunit ribosomal RNA", at positions 524 to 776 of the family's 1533-position model. The record is from RNAcentral.
UACGUAGGGUGCGAGCGUUGUCCGGAAUUAUUGGGCGUAAAGAGCUUGUAGGCGGUUUGUCGCGUCUGCUGUGAAAAUCCGGGGCUCAACCCCGGACUUGCAGUGGGUACGGGCAGACUAGAGUGUGGUAGGGGAGACUGGAAUUCCCGGUGUAGCGGUGAAAUGCGCAGAUAUCAGGAGGAACACCGAUGGCGAAGGCAGGUCUCUGGGCCACUACUGACGCUGAGAAGCGAAAGCAUGGGGAGCGAACAGG